This 481-nucleotide ribosomal RNA is filed under the name uncultured bacterium. Its description in RNAcentral is "partial 16S ribosomal RNA". It matches the Rfam family "Bacterial small subunit ribosomal RNA", at positions 30 to 506 of the family's 1533-position model. The record is from RNAcentral.
AUUGAACGCUGGCGGCAUGCUUUACACAUGCAAGUCGAACGGUAACAGGUCUUCGGAUGCUGACGAGUGGCGAACGGGUGAGUAACACAUCGGAACGUGCCUAGUAGUGGGGGAUAACUACUCGAAAGAGUAGCUAAUACCGCAUGAGAUCUAAGGAUGAAAGCAGGGGACCUUCGGGCCUUGCGCUACUAGAGCGGCUGAUGGCAGAUUAGGUAGUUGGUGGGAUAAAAGCUUACCAAGCCGACGAUCUGUAGCUGGUCUGAGAGGACGACCAGCCACACUGGGACUGAGACACGGCCCAGACUCCUACGGGAGGCAGCAGUGGGGAAUUUUGGACAAUGGGCGAAAGCCUGAUCCAGCAAUGCCGCGUGCAGGAUGAAGGCCCUCGGGUUGUAAACUGCUUUUGUACGGAACGAAAAGACUCUCUCUAAUAAAGAGGGUUGAUGACGGUACCGUAAGAAUAAGCACCGGCUAACUACGU